AGAAGCUUGAGACUAUGAAAACCGAAACCACCAAAGUCACCAUUAAGAAAUCCAAGACUAAGAAAAUAGACCGCGUUGAGACUUCCUUGAAAGAGUCUAGUCGCGAUCUCUCCCUCUUCAAGUUCAAAUCCGGAGCCGUCGUCGCGUUGGUUCUCUUCAUCGUUUUUGGACUAUUGAAUUCUUUAUUCGAAGGGAAAGUUGUCGCCAAAUUGCCGUUUAAGCCCAUAGGGAUCGUGAUGAAGAUGAGUCAUAGAGGGUUGCAAGGCGAUGACGCGACGGAUUGCUCAAUGGCGUUUUUAUAUUUCCUCUGUUCGAUUAGUAUCCGCACAAAUCUCCA
Molecule: unclassified non-coding RNA, 337 nt
Filed under: Hevea brasiliensis (rubber tree)
Lineage: Eukaryota; Viridiplantae; Streptophyta; Magnoliopsida; Malpighiales; Euphorbiaceae
Source: RNAcentral